GACGAACGCUGACGGCGUGCUUUAGACAUGCAAGUCGAACGAGAAAGCCCUUCGGGGUUAGUAAAGUGGUGAACGGGUGAGUAACACGUGGGCAAUCUGCCCUUCGUUGGGGGACAACCGGGGGAAACCCCGGCUAAUACCCCGUAAGCUUGUCGGGUCGCAUGGCCUGACAAGGAGAGGUAGCUUCGGCCAUCCGGCGAAGGAGGAGCCCGCGGUACAUUAGCUAGUUGGUGAGGUAAAGGCCCACCAAGGCGACGAUGUAUAGCUGGUCUGAGAGGAUGAUCAGCCACACUGGGACUGAGACACGGCCCAGACUCCUACGGGAGGCAGCAGUCGGGAAUCUUGCACAAUGGGCGAAAGCCUGAUGCAGCAACGCCGUGUGAGCGACGAAGGCCCUAGGGUCGUAAAGCUCUGUUGUUAGGGACGAAGGGCGAAGGGUUAAUAGCCCUUAGCCUGACGGUACCUUUCGAGGAAGCCCCGGCUAACUACGUGCCAGCCGCCGCAGUAA
RNAcentral lists this ribosomal RNA (508 nucleotides) under uncultured bacterium. Its description in RNAcentral is "partial 16S ribosomal RNA". It matches the Rfam family "Bacterial small subunit ribosomal RNA", at positions 28 to 523 of the family's 1533-position model. The record is from RNAcentral.